RNA transcript from Mangifera indica (mango), 2940 nucleotides. It is a transcript of the gene named DNA-(apurinic or apyrimidinic site) endonuclease 2, with no coding region annotated. Lineage: Eukaryota; Viridiplantae; Streptophyta; Magnoliopsida; Sapindales; Anacardiaceae. The record is from RefSeq and is a predicted model, not a curated record. The transcript is spliced from 12 exons.
UAAGGUGGCAAAUGAAAUGAUGAAUAAAAAAGAAGAAAAAUAGUUUUUUGACGACGACGUGUUCUCGUGUAACGUGUCACUGUAAACCGGAACUCAGUUUUUUGUCUCUGCGGAAAAAGAACGACAUCGUUUCAGGUUCUUCAGCACCAGUGCCCGGUAACUCAAAAGAGAACCGUUGGCGCGACUCGUGAGUAACCUGUACCUUGGAGGCAGUCAAGCAGAGAGAUGAACGAUGAUGAAGAUAGUAACAUACAAUGUCAAUGGUCUAAGACAACGCAUCUCUCAGUUCGGCUCUCUUCGCAAAUUACUCGACUCUUUCGACGCUGACAUCAUCUGCUUCCAGGAGACGAAAUUAAGAAGACAAGAACUGAAAUCGGAUUUAGUAUUGGCUGAAGGAUACGAGUCUUUCUUUUCUUGCACGCGUACUUCCGAUAAAGGCCGAACUGGUUAUUCCGGAGUAGCGACAUUUUGCCGUGUGAAUUCAGCGUUUUCAAGUAAUGAAGUGGCCCUGCCGGUGGCUGCAGAAGAAGGCUUUACUGGUGUUUUAGAUGCUUCUGGAAGUAAAAUUGUGGAAGGUCUUGAGGAAUUUGCCAAAGAUGAGCUCUGUAAGGUUGAUGGUGAGGGACGUUGUAUAAUUACCGAUCACGGUCAUUUCAUUCUGUUUAAUAUUUACGGGCCACGAGCUGGUAGUGAUGAUGUGGACAGGAUUCAGUUUAAGCAUAAAUUUUUCAAGAUAUUACAGAAAAGAUGGGAGUUUCUCUUGUGUCAAAAGAGGAGGAUAUUUGUGGUUGGUGAUCUCAACAUUGCUCCUGCUGCCAUAGAUCGCUGUGAGGCCGAACCGGAUUUUGAGGAGAAUGAGUUCAGAAGAUGGUUUAGAUCGUUGCUGGUGGAAUCUGGUGGCCCCUUUUUUGAUGUUUUCAGAGCAAAACAUCCUGAAAGAAGGGAUGCAUACACAUGCUGGCCAUCUAAUACAGGUGCAGAGCAAUUUAAUUAUGGGACAAGAAUUGACCAUAUUCUCUGUGGUGGGCCAUGCUUACAUGAAAAGCAUGACCUGGAAGGCCAUAACUUUGUAACUUGCCAUGUUAAGGAGUGUGACAUACUGGUAGAGUAUAAACGGUGGAAACCUGGAAAUACAUUGGGAACUAGGUGGAAAGGAGGGAUGAAUAUCAAAUUAGAAGGUUCAGACCAUGCUCCUGUUUAUACGAGUUUUGGUGAAGUUCCUGUUAUUCCUGAACAUAGCACUCCAUCUUUAGCUUCUAGAUACCUACCCAUGAUCCGUGGUCUCCAACAAACCCUUGUGUCUGUGUUAAUGAAAAGAGAGGUUGCUAAAGAAACUAAAUCUGGCGAGGCCUCAAGCUCACUUACUACCGAAAUGACGAAAAUGGAGCGUUUCAGUGAGAGUGUUGAAAGAUCCUUUAACAACUGCCAUGAACUGGGAAUGCCCCCUAGUGACCACUGUUCUUUUGCCAACCAAGAACCUAAAGGAAAAUUGUGGAAAACCCAUGAGAAUCAUAGAGAUCUACCUAAGGAUGCUGUUUGCGACUCCACAAUUACAACUGGGAAUUGUAAACACAUUCAUUUAAUUCCUGGUGACAGAGCCAAUAAAAAAGCAAGAAAAAAUCAAUUUUCACAACUCUCACUGAAGUCAUUUUUUCAGAAGAGUCCAAACCCUAGGCAAGAUGUGGGCAAAUUGGUUACUGAUACCUCACUUAAUCCGGCAGAUGUCCUGGAAUCCCUUCAUGACACAACUCCUGUGGCCGAUUAUAAUAAUUGUCAUCCUGAGCUGCAUGAUGUGAAUUUGAGUCCAUGCUCACAGGAUCAAGAGGAACAAGAUGGCAAAUGUUCUCUGGACACAGAGAAAAAUAACAUUGCUUUACUUGAAUGGAAGAGGAUACAACAACUCAUGGAGAACACUAUACCUCUUUGUAAGGGCCACAGGGAACCUUGUGUUGCUCGAGUGGUGAAGAAACCGGGUCCGACAAUUGGUCGCAGAUUUUAUGUUUGUGCUCGAGCGGAGGGACCUGCUUCUAAUUCUGAAGCAAAUUGUGGUUACUUUAAAUGGGCUUCUUCAAAAUCCAAGCACAAACAAUAAUGUUGUCUCAUGGUUUGCAAGUGAAAGGUAAGUUGUCCACCCCUACCUCUCCCAAGUGUUGCCUCCUUGAUCUCACUGAGCUUCAUACUGUACUUGGUUGGGGGGAUCUUGACAUUGUAUCUUCACAGGAAUAUGCCCAUUCCACCAAUGUUUUCAGACUCAAACCAGGCCUUGACUUGGUCAAGGGGCUGGUUUGGGUCUUUCUUGGUUGGAUUGGCUGUUAAACUGGGAUAUUAGAACUGGUAAUAUACAUAUAUAUUUACUAUAUAUACCCAAAUGGAGUUGUGGUUUGGUGAUGCAUUGCAUGCUUAGCCUGCUUUACCAAUUGUUGAGACAAUGAGUCCUAACAAUUGCGAAAAUUUUUUUGAAUCAUAUUGACGUCAAUAGGUCUAUUGGACCCGGAUUGACCCAACGCAGUUCACUUGGUUCAACCACAGUAUGAAACGGUUCAAUAACUGAAUCUUUUAGAACUUCACCUAGAUUGGACUGGCCAUCAGGAUCAAAACCAUGCAUCCUACACCGACUUGCCUUCUGUUCUCUUUUCUUAGCAUCCUGUAGUUAUCAUGUCACUCCUAAUCUUAACUAUCCAGAGGUCAUGUUCUUUAGAGAUCCCCACGGUCACAGCUGUUCUCUGAGACCUAUACUUUUUAAUUUUUUAAUGGUUGGUCUCUAAAGAAAUGUAGAAUUUAAUGGGUCUUGACCUGAAAUAUAAUUCUCGAUAUGCUUUUGAUUGAAAAACAUUUGAUUUGCCUUGAUGGGAUGGGGAUAAUGGUUGCAUGUAAUAGGAUGAAUAACAAAUGGUAUUUGCUCAAAGUGACAGAAGAAAGAACUGCCAACCUUGAGGUAUU